UUGGUUAAGUUAGAAAGGGCGCACGGUGGAUGCCUUGGCACUAGGAGCCGAAGAAGGACGGGACUAACACCGAUAUGCUUUGGGGAGCUGUACGUAAGCGUUGAUCCAGAGAUUUCCGAAUGGGGGAACCCACUAUCUUUAGUCGGAUAGUAUCCUUACGUGAAUACAUAGCGUGAGGAAGGCAGACCCAGGGAACUGAAACAUCUAAGUACCUGGAGGAAGAGAAAGAAAAAUCGAUUUCCUGAGUAGCGGCGAGCGAAACGGAAAGAGCCCAAACCAAGAAGCUUGCUUCUUGGGGUUGUAGGACACUCUAUACGGAGUUACAAAAGAAAGUUAUAAAUGAAGCGGUCUGGAAAGGCCCGCCAAAGACGGUAACAGCCCGGUAGUUGAAAUAGCUUUCCCUCCAGAGUGGAUCCUGAGUACGGCGGAACACGUGAAAUUCCGUCGGAAUCCGGGAGGACCAUCUCCCAAGGCUAAAUACUCCCUAGUGACCGAUAGUGAACCAGUACCGUGAGGGAAAGGUGAAAAGCACCCCGGAAGGGGAGUGAAACAGUUCCUGAAACCGUGUGCCUACAAGUAGUUAGAGCCCGUUAAUGGGUGAUAGCGUGCCUUUUGUAGAAUGAACCGGCGAGUUACGAUUUGUUGCAAGGUUAAGCGGAAAAAGCGGAGCCGUAGCGAAAGCGAGUCUGAAUAGGGCGCAUAAGUAACAGGUCGUAGACCCGAAACCAGGUGAUCUACCCAUGUCCAGGAUGAAGGUAAGGUAAUACUUACUGGAGGUCCGAACCCACGCACGUUGAAAAGUGCGGGGAUGAGGUGUGGGUAGCGGAGAAAUUCCAAUCGAACUUGGAGAUAGCUGGUUCUCUCCGAAAUAGCUUUAGGGCUAGCCUCGAGGUAAAGAGUCAUGGAGGUAGAGCACUGUUUGGACUAGGGGCCCUUCUCGGGUUACCGAAUUCAGAUAAACUCCGAAUGCCAUGUACUUAUACUCGGGAGUCAGACUGCGAGUGAUAAGAUCCGUAGUCGAAAGGGAAACAGCCCAGACCACCAGUUAAGGUCCCCAAAUAUAUGUUAAGUGGAAAAGGAUGUGGGGUUGCUUAGACAACCAGGAUGUUGGCUUAGAAGCAGCCACCAUUGAAAGAGUGCGUAAUAGCUCACUGGUCGAGUGACCCCGCGCCGAAAAUGUACCGGGGCUAAACAUAUUACCGAAACUGUGGAUGAACCUCUU
Molecule: ribosomal RNA, 1222 nt
Filed under: Listeria welshimeri
Lineage: Bacteria; Bacillati; Bacillota; Bacilli; Caryophanales; Listeriaceae
Description: partial 23S ribosomal RNA
Rfam family: Bacterial large subunit ribosomal RNA
Source: RNAcentral